UACUUGUUUAUCAGAAAAUCUCUUUAUCGGUGACUUAUUGUGGGAAUUCCGUACAUGGACUGUCUUUGACGUAAUUUUGCUGUCGCAAUUUCUUCACCUUUAUCUGAAAGUGCAAUACUAUAUAAAGCGUUGAUUUCAUUUAGUUAUCCAGAAAAGGAUAAAUUCAAACGUAAGCGAUACUUUCCAGUUAUUUGAAAUCUCACUGACACCAUGAUGCGUUCCACAUUUAUUCUCUUGUUCCUGGUCGCCUCCAUGUUUACAACGGUCCUGACAGCAUCGUGUCCAAGUCACUGCUACACCGCCAGUUCUACGUGCAUCAACAACUGUUACAACUCCAUAUCAACUAUCAUCGGCAACAUCGGGAAACGUGACGUCAUGGAAGCUAAAUCACGUCAAAGAAGAUACAAUUGUUAUGAUAUAUGUAUGUCCAUGUACAAUGCCUGCUGUGGAACAAGUUAAAUUGAAUAUUAUUUUGUGAUGACAACCGCAUGAUCAAAACGAUUUCUGUUAUACGGAAUGAAUAAAGAGUAUUUAUAAAUA
This is a long non-coding RNA of Ostrea edulis (European flat oyster), 540 nucleotides long. RefSeq lists it as uncharacterized. NCBI's taxonomy places the organism in Eukaryota, Metazoa, Mollusca, Bivalvia, Ostreida, Ostreidae. The transcript is spliced from 2 exons. The record is from RefSeq and is a predicted model, not a curated record.